Molecule: ribosomal RNA, 330 nt
Filed under: uncultured eukaryote
Lineage: Eukaryota
Description: partial 18S ribosomal RNA
Rfam family: Eukaryotic small subunit ribosomal RNA
Source: RNAcentral
CCCUUAGACGUUCGGGGCCGCACGCGCGCUACACUGAAGGAAUCAGCACGUCUUUCUCCUUGUCCGAAAGGACUGGGUAACCCGCUGAACCUCCUUCGUGCUAGGGAUUGGGGCAUGUAAUUCUUCCCCAUGAACGAGGAAUUCCCAGUAAGCGCGAGUCAUAAGCUCGCGUUGAUUACGUCCCUGCCCUUUGUACACACCGCCCGUCGCUACUACCGAUUGGAUGGUUUAGUGAGAUCCUCGGAUUGGUCCCGGAGCGGCCUCUGGUCGUGCCGGAGUGCCGAAAAGAAUGUCGAACUUGAUCAUCUAGAGGAUGUAAAAGUCGUAACA